RNAcentral lists this ribosomal RNA (610 nucleotides) under uncultured bacterium. RNAcentral's name for it is "bacterial SSU rRNA". It matches the Rfam family "Bacterial small subunit ribosomal RNA", at positions 338 to 1243 of the family's 1533-position model. The record is from RNAcentral.
CCUACGGGAGGCAGCAGUGGGGAAUCUUGCGCAAUGGGCGAAAGCCUGACGCAGCAACGCCGCGUGCGGGAAGAAGGCUUUCGGGCUGUAAACCGCUUUCAGCAGGAACGAAAAUGACGGUACCUGCAGAAGAAGGAGCGGCCAACUAUGUGCCAGCAGCCGCGGUGAUACAUAGGCUUCAAGCGUUGUCCGGAUUUAUUGGGCGUAAAGAGUUCGUAGGCGGUCAAGUAAGUCGGGUGUGAAAAUUCUGGGCUCAACCCAGAGACGCCACCCGAUACUGCUUAACUUGAGUUCGAUAGGGGAGUGGGGAAUUCCUAGUGUAGCGGUGAAAUGCGCAGAUAUUAGGAGGAACACCGGUGGCGAAGGCGCCACUCUGGAUCGAUACUGACGCUGAGGAACGAAAGCAUGGGUAGCAAACAGGAUUAGAUACCCUGGUAGUCCAUGCCGUAAACGGUGGGCACUAGGUGUGGGUUUCUAUUAACGAAAUCCGCGCCGUCGCUAACGCAUUAAGUGCCCCGCCUGGGGUGGUACGGUCGCGAGACGUAAACGUUAAAGUAAAGUUAGACGGUCGUGAGACGUUGUCCGAACGGACGACGACGAGGGAGGUAGG